RNAcentral lists this ribosomal RNA (422 nucleotides) under uncultured Lachnospiraceae bacterium. RNAcentral's name for it is "bacterial SSU rRNA". It matches the Rfam family "Bacterial small subunit ribosomal RNA", at positions 355 to 794 of the family's 1533-position model. The record is from RNAcentral. Lineage: Bacteria; Bacillati; Bacillota; Clostridia; Lachnospirales; Lachnospiraceae.
UGGGGAAUAUUGCACAAUGGGGGAAACCCUGAUGCAGCGACGCCGCGUGAAGGAUGAAGUAUUUCGGUAUGUAAACUUCUAUCAGCAGGGAAGAAAAUGACGGUACCUGACUAAGAAGCCCCGGCUAACUACGUGCCAGCAGCCGCGGUAAUACGUAGGGGGCAAGCGUUAUCCGGAUUUACUGGGUGUAAAGGGAGCGUAGACGGUAAGGCAAGUCUGAAGUGAAAUGCCAGGGCUCAACCCUGGAACUGCUUUGGAAACUGUCCUACUAGAGUGCAGGAGAGGUAAGUGGAAUUCCUAGUGUAGCGGUGAAAUGCGUAGAUAUUAGGAGGAACACCAGUGGCGAAGGCGGCUUACUGGACUGUAACUGACGUUGAGGCUCGAAAGCGUGGGGAGCAAACAGGAUUAGAUACCCUGGUAGU